Molecule: non-coding RNA, 73 nt
Organism: Sarcophilus harrisii (Tasmanian devil)
Lineage: Eukaryota; Metazoa; Chordata; Mammalia; Dasyuromorphia; Dasyuridae
Source: Rfam
GCCCGACUAGCUCAGUUGGUAGAGCAUCAGACUUUUAAUCUGAGGGUCCAGGGUUCAAGCCCCACGUUGGGCG